GAUGAACGCUAGCGGCAGGCUUAACACAUGCAAGUCGAGGGGUAUUAGGAGCUUGCUCCUAAGAGACCGGCGCACGGGUGCGUAACGCGUAUGCAACCUACCUUGAACAGGGGGAUAGCCCAGAGAAAUUUGGAUUAAUACCCCAUGGUAUAUUAGAAUGGCAUCAUUUUAUUAUUAAAGUCACAACGGUUCAAGAUGGGCAUGCGUCCCAUUAGCUAGAUGGUAAGGUAACGGCUUACCAUGGCUACGAUGGGUAGGGGUCCUGAGAGGGAGAUCCCCCAAACUGGUACUGAGACACGGACCAGACUCCUACGGGAGGCAGCAGUGAGGAAUAUUGGUCAAUGGGCGCAAGCCUGAACCAGCCAUGCCGCGUGCAGGAUGAAGCAUCUAUGGUGUGUAAACUGCUUUUAUACGGGAAGAAACCCUGCCACGUGUGGCAGAUUGACGGUACCGUAGGAAUAAGGAUCGGCUAACUCCGCGCCAGCAGCCGCGGUAA
This 496-nucleotide ribosomal RNA is filed under the name uncultured bacterium. RNAcentral describes it as "partial 16S ribosomal RNA". It matches the Rfam family "Bacterial small subunit ribosomal RNA", at positions 28 to 523 of the family's 1533-position model. The record is from RNAcentral.